This is a non-coding RNA of Podarcis lilfordi (Lilford's wall lizard), 75 nucleotides long. NCBI's taxonomy places the organism in Eukaryota, Metazoa, Chordata, Lepidosauria, Squamata, Lacertidae. The record is from the annotation of a GenBank genome assembly.
GGCAUGACCGUGGCUCUAGGGUAGAGCAGCUGUUUUCCAUUCAGAAGGUCGCAGGUUCGAUCCCUGGUGUCUCCA